RNAcentral lists this RNase P RNA (390 nucleotides) under Alphaproteobacteria bacterium. RNAcentral describes it as "RNase P RNA component class A". It matches the Rfam family "Bacterial RNase P class A". Rfam says of the family: Ribonuclease P (RNase P) is a ubiquitous endoribonuclease, found in archaea, bacteria and eukarya as well as chloroplasts and mitochondria. The record is from RNAcentral. Lineage: Bacteria; Pseudomonadati; Pseudomonadota; Alphaproteobacteria.
CCAGUCGGCUGGAUGGCCGCUCUCGCUAGGCCCGCAAGGGUGCGAGGGAGGAAAGUCCGGGCUCCACGGGAAAAGGGUGCCGGGUAACGCCCGGCGAAGGUGACUUCAGGGAAAGUGCCACAGAAAACAAACCGCCGCAGUUCGCUGCGGUCAGGGUGAAAAGGUGGGGUAAGAGCCCACCGCGGGCCUGGCAACAGGCUUGGCAUGGCAAACCCCACCCGGAGCAAGACCUAAUAGGGGCGGCAUGAAACGCAAGUUUCAAAGCUUUUCCGGCUCGCUGCCCGGGUUGGUUGCGCGAGGCAUUUGGCAACAAAUGUCCCAGAUGAAUGGCCAUACACUGUGAAGGCAACUUCAUGGGGACAAAACCCGGCUUACAGGCCGACUGGUAAU